AUUUACACAGGAAGUUCCUACAACAAGGUGCUUGCCAGUCACCCUUCCCCAGAUCCCGAAUGCAACCCUGGCCAGGUGGCGCAGAGGACAGUCACUCUGCUGGUCAUGCUGAGCUCAUACUCUAAUGGCUGUUCCAUGAGGUCAAGACUGGGGCCCCUCCCUUCUCCCACUUUACCAAUGCCUGGUCUCAUGGGGUUAGUUUGGAGCCCAGCACGAUGGCAUCAUCAACCUCCUCCCCGGCUCCUGGCUCCAGGUCCAAGAAGCCUCUGGGCAAGAUGGCUGACUGGUUCAGGCAGGCCCUGUCGAGGAAGCCCACGAAGAUGCCCGCCUCCCCAGAAAGCGCCCUCAGUGACGUUUCACAGCCGAGCUCACUGGACAGCCCCCCAUCCCUGGGCCCCAGCUCAGAGGUGUCUCCCAUCCCUACACCGUCGCCCGGGGGCGCCAGCGGUGGCAGCGGCAGCAGCAGCAGCGGCCGCUGGAGCAAGGCCUACGAUGUGUGCGUGUGCCACAGCGAGGAGGACCUGGUGGCCGCCCAGGAGCUGGUCUCCUACCUGGAGGGCGGCGCCGCCAGCCUGCGCUGCUUCUUGCAGCUUCGCGACGCCACCCCCGGCGGCGCCAUCGUGUCCGAGCUGUGCCACGCGCUCAGCAGCAGCCACUGCCGCGUGCUGCUGAUUACCCCCGGCUUCCUCCGGGACCCGUGGUGCAGGUACCAGAUGCUGCAGGCGCUGAGCGAGGCCCCCGGGGCCGAGGGCCGCACCAUCCCCCUGAUGUCCGGCCUCAGCAGAGCCGCCUACCCCGCGGAGCUCCGAUACAUGUACUUCGUGGACGGCCGCGGUCCCGAACGUGGCUUCCGCCAAGUCAAGGACGCUGUCAUGCGGUGAAAAUAUUUGUCUGCUCAGCAUCUUUUAGCUGGCGGGGAUCUUCCUUGAAGCAAGAAGGCUCUUUCAGUUGUCACACCUGCAGACCCUUGGCUGAUCCUUGAUCCAUCACCACAGCACCCAGAAAGUUGGAGCAAAGUGGGAAAUGGAGUUAGAGGGACCAGGGCCUGGGAUUUCAGCAGACACACUGAGUUGUAAGGAGUGAGUUUGCAGGACAUUGCAUGUGACCCAGGGAUCAGACUGUCUGUGGCCUCCAUAUCCGUGGGCUCUCAGGAAGGACCCAGGGAAGUUGGGGAGUCCCCCCAGGAAGGCCUGGUGAGGCUGGGGACUCCCCCUGGAAGGCCUGGGGAGACUGGGGACUUCCCCAAGAAGGCCUGGGGAGGCUGGGGAUCCCCCAGGAAGGCCUGGAAGAGCCAGAAAGUGGAGGUGGGAGGAAGUACUGAUACCAAGAUAUGGCCCACGUGAUGCCACCUGCGUGACUGGACAUGAAGCCUGGCAGGUCGUGUCUGUGUCUUCAUCCCCUGUAAUCGGGCACUGGUGUUGAGGUGCAUUCCUCUUGAAGAGGUGGCUCACCUGAGUAAGGAGCUGGAAUCCUGGACCACUUGCCUCAGCUGCGUGGUUUUCCACGGUGUCCGGGGAAGCCCUCAGCAGGCGUCAGGAAAAAGCAACAGGUAUGGUGUCUUUCACACUCACACUCCUGCUGGGGUCUCCCUGUGAUGUCGUUCACAUCUGAAAGGUAUAAGGAAGAUGCCCUCAGCAUUGUUAUUUCCACUGCAUGCCUGUCAUUCAAGACCCACACCCAGAGACCAUUCAGAAGAGAUAGGAGAGAGCAGGGAGCAGGUGGGGCGAAGAGAAGGGAAACUCAGACCUUUUAGCUGGGAUCAAAAGCCCACUCACCGAUGCACUGUCAUGGGGGCUUCAUCAGGGGUCUGGCCAGAACUCACGCUUCCUCAUGCAGAGAGCUCCUCACCCCUGCACUCAGAGGAAUCAGCAUAUUUCCUCUGGAGGAUGGUAUGU
RNA transcript from Budorcas taxicolor (takin), 1895 nucleotides. It is a transcript of the gene named TIR domain containing adaptor protein, with no coding region annotated. The transcript is spliced from 5 exons. NCBI's taxonomy places the organism in Eukaryota, Metazoa, Chordata, Mammalia, Artiodactyla, Bovidae. The record is from RefSeq and is a predicted model, not a curated record.